Molecule: ribosomal RNA, 397 nt
Filed under: uncultured bacterium
Lineage: Bacteria
Description: bacterial SSU rRNA
Rfam family: Bacterial small subunit ribosomal RNA
Source: RNAcentral
GAGCGCCGUAGCAAUACGGAGCGGCAGACGGGAGAGUAACACGUGGGAACGUGCCCUUCAGUUCGGAACAACCCAGGGAAACUUGGGCUAAUACCGGAUACGUCCGUAAGGAGAAAGAUUUAUCGCUGAAGGAUCGGCCCGCGUCUGAUUAGCUAGUUGGUGAGGUAACGGCUCACCAAGGCGACGAUCAGUAGCUGGUCUGAGAGGAUGAUCAGCCUCACUGGGACUGAGACACGGCCCAGACUCCUACGGGAGGCAGCAGUGGGGAAUAUUGGACAAUGGGCGCAAGCCUGAUCCAGCCAUGCCGCGUGGAUGAUGAAGGCCCUAGGGUUGUAAAGUCCUUUCGGCGGGGAAGAUAAUGACGGUACCCGCAGAAGAAGCCCCGGCUAACUUCGUG